CUCUCAGGGCAGCAUCUCCUCGCUUUGGUCUCGAGGUCGCGCCUGAACAAGGAGCUCCCGGAUCGCAGGUCCUCCCACAGAGACUCCCCUUCCUCCUGCUGAGGGACAUCUCUCUCCAGACCAGCACGCUCGGUCCCCCGCGCUGGCCAUGCUCUCCGUGACCCUCCUCCUGCUCGGAUUGCCUUUCGCCCUGAGAGGAAGUGGAGCCCAGUCCGUGGCCCAGCCUGACCUCCGGGUCACCGUCACGGAAGGAGACCCUCUGCUGCUCAAGUGCAACUACACCUAUGGAGCAACCCCUUACCUCUUCUGGUACAUCCAGCGGCCUGGCCAAGGCCUCCAGCUUCUCCUCAAAUACACAUCAGGGUCAGCCCUGGUUACAGACAGCAGAGGUUUCGAGGCCGAGUUUAAGAAGAGUGAGAGCUCCUUCCACCUGCAGAAAGCCUCAGCCCGGCGGAGUGAUGCGGCCCUGUACUUCUGUGCUCUGGGUGACACAGCGCCUGAAACUGCAGGGGGAGCUGAGCACAAACCUCAGAGACUGGACUUCCUGUGA
Octodon degus (degu) is the source of this 550-nucleotide non-coding RNA. The record is from the annotation of a RefSeq genome assembly. Lineage: Eukaryota; Metazoa; Chordata; Mammalia; Rodentia; Octodontidae.